AAUGAACGCUGGCGGCGUGCUUAACACAUGCAAGUCGCACGAGAACGUUUCAGCUUGCUGAAACUAGUAAAGUGGCGUACGGGUGAGUAACGCGUGGGUAAUCUACCUCCGAAUUGGGGAUAACAUUGCGAAAGUGAUGCUAAUACCGAAUGACAUCUCAAGAGCUUCGGCUCUGGAGAUCAAAGGUGGCCUCUCCUUGGAAGCUACUGUUUGGAGAUGAGCCCGCGUACCAUUAGCUUGUUGGUAGGGUAAUGGCCUACCAAGGCCGCGAUGGUUAGCUGGUCUGAGAGGAUGAUCAGCCACACUGGAACUGACACACGGUCCAGACUCCUNACGGGAGGCAGCAGUGGGGAAUAUUGGACAAUGGGCGCAAGCCUGAUCCAGCAAUGCCGCGUGUGUGAAGAAGGCCUGCGGGUUGUAAAGCACUUUCAGUAGAGAAGAAAAGCUUACGGUUAAUACCUGUGAGUCUUGACGUAACCUACAGAAGAG
This 489-nucleotide ribosomal RNA is filed under the name uncultured bacterium. RNAcentral's name for it is "bacterial SSU rRNA". It matches the Rfam family "Bacterial small subunit ribosomal RNA", at positions 29 to 489 of the family's 1533-position model. The record is from RNAcentral.